GCAGUGCUUGCUUUGGUAUCACUAAAGUUAGACAGAUACAGAGAUUAGCAUGUCCCUGCACAAGAAUGACACACAAAUUCAUGAAACAUUCCAUAUCUUU
Molecule: small nuclear RNA, 100 nt
Filed under: Sciurus vulgaris (Eurasian red squirrel)
Lineage: Eukaryota; Metazoa; Chordata; Mammalia; Rodentia; Sciuridae
Source: RNAcentral